UGAAAUUCACGUGUUGCUAUAGGUGGGUCGCCAUGUUCUUUCAGUGGUGGUGCAUCAGAAGUUUGAUAGCUUGUAAUGUAACAGGCACCAAACUAAUUAUUUGCUUUAAUUAAUUUUUUGCAGCUAGCAUGUGCAGUGGCAGCCGCGGACCUGUUUCUGAAGCGAGUACUUCCACUUCAACCUAUGGCCGUCCGGAACAGUGCCCUCCUCGCACUACAGCAGAGCGCUGCAGAGAUUAUCGCAGCAAGCAGAGACAGUCCCGUGAAACCUCGCUCGAGGUUUUGGCAGACUCCUCAGUGGCCAGAGUGGAACAUGCAGCUGCCUUGUGGAAUGAACUCUGUGAGUUGCUGCGUAAGGAUGAUGCCAUCCUCGAGGAAGUGCAAGACACCAUGCAGAAUUUGAAAGACAUGGUUGACGAGUUCUGUGUUGAAUUACAGAAGUCACAGGACACUUUCAAUGGUGCCUUUCAGAAUGUG
This is a long non-coding RNA of Gavialis gangeticus (Gharial), 476 nucleotides long. RefSeq lists it as uncharacterized. The record is from RefSeq and is a predicted model, not a curated record. Lineage: Eukaryota; Metazoa; Chordata; Crocodylia; Gavialidae. The transcript is spliced from 2 exons.